This 88-nucleotide transfer RNA is filed under the name Hadesarchaea archaeon. Its description in RNAcentral is "tRNA-Thr". It matches the Rfam family "tRNA". From Rfam's summary of the family: Transfer RNA (tRNA) molecules are approximately 80 nucleotides in length. Their secondary structure includes four short double-helical elements and three loops (D, anti-codon, and T loops). Lineage: Archaea; Methanobacteriati; Hadarchaeota (SeqCode); Hadarchaeia (SeqCode). The record is from RNAcentral.
GCCCCGGUGGCUCAGCCUGGUGGAGCGACUGACUUGUAACCAGGUGCAGGAAAUCAGUAGGUCGUGGGUUCAACUCCCACCCGGGGCU